UACGGAGGGUGCAAACGUUGCUCGGAAUCAUUGGGCGUAAAGCGUGUGUAGGCGGCCUGUUAAGUCGGGUGUGAAAGCCCCGGGCUCAACCCGGGAAGUGCAUUCGAUACUGGCAGGCUUGAGUACGGGAGAGGGUCGCGGAAUUCCCGGUGUAGAGGUGAAAUUCGUAGAUAUCGGGAGGAACACCGGUGGCGAAGGCGGCGAUCUGGGUCGAUACUGACGCUGAGGUGCGAAAGCGUGGGGAGCGAACAGG
This 253-nucleotide ribosomal RNA is filed under the name uncultured bacterium. RNAcentral describes it as "partial 16S ribosomal RNA". It matches the Rfam family "Bacterial small subunit ribosomal RNA", at positions 524 to 776 of the family's 1533-position model. The record is from RNAcentral.